UACGUAGGGUGCAAGCGUUGUCCGGAAUUAUUGGGCGUAAAGAGCUCGUAGGCGGUCUGUCGCGUCUGCUGUGAAAACUCGGGGCUUAACCCCGGCGCCUGGCAGUGGGUACGGGCAGACUAGAGUGCGGUAGGGGAGAAUUGGAAUUCCUGGUGUAGCGGUGGAAUGCGCAGAUAUCAGGAGGAACACCGAUGGCGAAAGGCAAAUCUCUGG
RNAcentral lists this ribosomal RNA (213 nucleotides) under uncultured bacterium. Its description in RNAcentral is "partial 16S ribosomal RNA". It matches the Rfam family "Bacterial small subunit ribosomal RNA", at positions 524 to 732 of the family's 1533-position model. The record is from RNAcentral.